This 496-nucleotide ribosomal RNA is filed under the name uncultured bacterium. RNAcentral's name for it is "partial 16S ribosomal RNA". It matches the Rfam family "Bacterial small subunit ribosomal RNA", at positions 28 to 506 of the family's 1533-position model. The record is from RNAcentral.
GAUGAACGCUGGCGGCGUGCCUAAUACAUGCAAGUCGAGCGAACAGACGAGGAGCUUGCUCCUCUGACGUUAGCGGCGGACGGGUGAGUAACACGUGGAUAACCUACCUAUAAGACUGGGAUAACUUCGGGAAACCGGAGCUAAUACCGGAUAAUAUAUUGAACCGCAUGGUUCAAUAGUGAAAGACGGUUUUGCUGUCACUUAUAGAUGGAUCCGCGCCGCAUUAGCUAGUUGGUAAGGUAACGGCUUACCAAGGCAACGAUGCGUAGCCGACCUGAGAGGGUGAUCGGCCACACUGGAACUGAGACACGGUACAGACUCCUACGGGAGGCAGCAGUAGGGAAUCUUCCGCAAUGGGCGAAAGCCUGACGGAGCAACGCCGCGUGAGUGAUGAAGGUCUUCGGAUCGUAAAACUCUGUUAUUAGGGAAGAACAAAUGUGUAAGUAACUAUGCACGUCUUGACGGUACCUAAGCAGAAAGCCACGGCUAACUACGU